This 490-nucleotide ribosomal RNA is filed under the name uncultured bacterium. Its description in RNAcentral is "partial 16S ribosomal RNA". It matches the Rfam family "Bacterial small subunit ribosomal RNA", at positions 30 to 507 of the family's 1533-position model. The record is from RNAcentral.
AUUGAACGCUGGCGGCAGGCCUAACACAUGCAAGUCGAACGGUAACAGGAAGAAGCUUGCUUCUUUGCUGACGAGUGGCGGACGGGUGAGUAAUGUCUGGGAAACUGCCUGAUGGAGGGGGAUAACUACUGGAAACGGUAGCUAAUACCGCAUAACGUCGCAAGACCAAAGAGGGGGACCUUCGGGCCUCUUGCCAUCGGAUGUGCCCAGAUGGGAUUAGCUUGUUGGUGGGGUAACGGCUCACCAAGGCGACGAUCCCUAGCUGGUCUGAGAGGAUGACCAGCCACACUGGAACUGAGACACGGUCCAGACUCCUACGGGAGGCAGCAGUGGGGAAUAUUGCACAAUGGGCGCAAGCCUGAUGCAGCCAUGCCGCGUGUAUGAAGAAGGCCUUGGGGUUGUAAAGUACUUUCAGCGGGGAGGAAGGGAGUAAAGUUAAUACCUUUGCUCAUUGACGUUACCCGCAGAAGAAGCACCGGCUAACUCCGUG